This is a non-coding RNA of Odocoileus virginianus texanus, 2159 nucleotides long. The record is from RefSeq and is a predicted model, not a curated record. NCBI's taxonomy places the organism in Eukaryota, Metazoa, Chordata, Mammalia, Artiodactyla, Cervidae.
ACAGCCGGCGGGGGGUGGGGGUGGGGUGAAUUAACUUUCGAUGCUCUUCAGAGGAGAUCAGCCUUAUCUGGGCCAUAAAACCUGUCUGGGCUUUGUAACAAAGGACCAUGACCUUUCUACUGAAAGGAAGCAACAAUUAUUGUCCCUCAGUUCUGGGUCUAUAAGCAUUUUUUGAGGAAGGUAAAAGAGAAUCAAGAAAAAGCAAAUUUCCUGAGAAGUGAGUAAGGACCCUACAAUAGGCCUUGGGGGAAUUCUUGUUUGAGACAACAGAAAACCGGCUGUGAAGAAUGGCCUGGGUGGGGAUGAAACUUAACACCCGUCCAUCUGCUGGGGCCCACUUCCUCAUCAUCUUUCGUCAGUCCUGUGACAUUAACAACGUUGUAUGACAUUUGCGUCAGGCAUCAGAUAACGUGCCUGAUGGUCUCUAAACAAUACGUCCAGAGAGGAAUAGAGUGUUACAACUCAAAAAAGGACACAGGAGAGGAAAGAGAGCUGUCUCUGUCCCGCUCUGUCGCUCGGCAGUAAGAUUCCCCUCAAGGCACUGGACCACAGCAAAGAUGGAGAAAAGCAGAGAAUGCCUUCUGCCUUCUGGGGGAGAAAAACCCACAGUGGAAACUGCUGUGAGAAUCGUGAAAACAUCACUGUAAGCCAGAGCUUUCCUGCACUGAUGUCCUUUCUCCAAGUCCAGGCUCCAAUCUGUAGGAGUCGGUAUCCAGUUACGCUGUACCGUUGGUCCUCUGGACAGCAGGUUCCCCUCCCCGGAUUCAGGGGCCGCAGAAGCCUCAGGUACCGAGGACCUUCGUUCUGUGUCACCGUAUAGAAGGGACUUGGGCAUCCAGAGUUUGAUGUCCCAGGGGGCCCUGGAACCAAGUGCCCAUGGAUCCUGAGGGAUGACUGCUCUUUUUGUCUUUGGUCCCUAAGUGAUGGGACGUUGAAGUUUGUGUCUGCAGGACUCUCAAACUGUAUCAAUGCACCAGAUACAGAUGUCUUCAUGGUAGGAGGGACUGGGGCUUUCUGUCCCUGAACCUGCAUGCCAACAGCGGGGAGGCUCAGCUCUCAUCUGGCGUAACCCUGAUUGGAUGGCUAACCUGAGGGCACACACUACCUGGGGCAAAGGUAACUAGCUUUGCUAUAACGACAUCAUAAAGAUGACUGAACAGGAUUAGAUGGCUGGAUGCUGAUGAACCGUUUAGGGCCGCUGUAAAACCACUGAGCAUCGCAGGGCUCCCUCCAGCUUCUGGGGACCUUGGGUCAAGUGCUCAUCAGAUCCUGCUCAUCCCUCCUGUACUCUAAGGCUGAACUUCACUCUCCUCAUCAUCUUUAAAAUGUCGGUUAAGCCUCUUGAUCUGGGCUCAAGCAAAGGUACCUUUUGAAGAAGGUGAUGUUAUGGAUUCCCACUGGAAUGGACAGACGCUCUGCCCACCCCAGCCCUGAUACAUAGACCUAAAUGAGGACACAGUGGGAAGGAGAGGGGUUCAACUCCCCCAGGUCUUCUCCUGAUUUGUCCUGAGCAGCAGGUGAGCCUAGUGGGCAGGGCUAGGACUCCAGGGCUAGACUGCUUAGGCCAGCAUCUCAGCUCUGCCAGUGGCAGGUUCUGAGACCCUGGGCAAGUCAUUUAACCUCCCAGUGCCUCCAGUUCUUUUCUGAAAAAUAGAAGUACCUUCCCUGUCAUGUGGGGUUGUCAAGAGGUCCCAGUGAGUUCAAGCACACAUAGGCUUUGGACCGCACCUCACAGCUGUAAGCACUCUUCAACUUGCCUUAAAGGCAAAAAGAAGACGAUUGUGUCCUAAGAAAGGCCAAGGAACUCAGCCACAUUGUCAUGCUACUUCCCUGUAUUGACUGUUUACACUGAAAAUGAGGACAUAGAAAGAAAGGGCAACCACAGUUUCUUUUCCCUUCAGUCUUUCCUUGCUCAUCAGCAAGAUGAGGGCAGAGAGCAUUGGUAAAACGUCUGUGUAUGGAGAAGUGAAACAAGGAGAUAAGAGUCAGAUGCAGCAUUUCCAUUGUUCUGGAAGAGAUGAACUAGAGAUGCAUGUGCAUUUAUGAAAUACUAACUACGUCACCUUGGAGGUGCUGCAUCGGAGUUCUGUGUGCAUUUAGAACCGUCACGGUGUAAUCUAAAGGUGAACAAUAAAGAUCAUGCUAAUGUUAAUAAAUAA